Molecule: ribosomal RNA, 315 nt
Filed under: uncultured bacterium
Lineage: Bacteria
Description: bacterial SSU rRNA
Rfam family: Bacterial small subunit ribosomal RNA
Source: RNAcentral
AAUGAACGCUGGCGGCGUGGAUUAGGCAUGCAAGUCGAACGCGAAAGUUCCCUUCGGGGAGCGAGUAGAGUGGCGAAAGGGUGAGUAAUGCUUGGAUGACCUGCCCUCGAGACGGGGACAACAGUUUCGAAAGGACUGCUAAUACCCGAUAGUCCGGUUUAGAUGCGUCUAGAUCGGUAAAUGGUGCUUCCGCUCGAGGAGGGGUUCAAGUCCUAUCAGCUUGUUGGUGAGUAACGGCUCACCAAGGCGAUGACGGGUAGCCGGACUGAGAGGUUGGCCGGCACAUGGGAACUGAGACACUGUCCUGACUCCUAC